CGUCUGCUUUAUUUUGUCGGCGCUGGCUUUAUUUGCACUGUUGGAAUCAACAAAUGGCGUGAGCUUCAGUGCAAGUCCAUUUUACAACAGCAGCAGCAGCAACAACAGCUCCUUGAAAAUGCCGCAAAUGCCCUUGAGUGAUCUCCAGGUUUAAGGCAAAUUUUCAAAUUUUGUCAUGGAAUUUGGCAAGUAAGCUUGAUCUUUGGCUUCAUUUUGAGUUUGAUCAAAUCGCUAAUCUGAGUAUUCAGUGUACAAAUUUGAAUGGUAAUGGGGAUUGUCAAGAUUUCGAUUUUGUAUACAUUUGUGCUUCAUUUGUGACAUUUUCUCUCUAGUUUAUAGUUUGAUUCGGGCAGUAUACAACAUUCUUGGGGAUGACUCAAAUAGCGAGAUUAUUGAUAUUGUGAGUAGAAGGUGAGAUUAUUGGUGUGUGUAUGUGCGCGCGCGCAUUGGGGGUUGCUAUUGUGAGUACCAAAGAGCUUUCUCAUCUUAGAAUAUGUAUGUCUAUUGAAGCUGUGGAUUCUAAUCCAAAUCGAGGCGAAUUUGUCAUCUGUGAAUAAUGCUAGGGCGAUGAGAGUUCUGUAGUUUUCUACUGUUAUGUCAUGGAUUUUGCAGCAUGCUCCCUUUCAACUAUCCUCGGAUGCUUAUGCAUAAUCAAUUGGAGGUUCUAACUUCUAACUUCACAUAAUGUAGCCAAAACCAUGAGGCAAUCACUUCACUGAGUUCUGCAACCUUCUCAUA
Molecule: non-coding RNA, 738 nt
Organism: Prunus avium (sweet cherry)
Lineage: Eukaryota; Viridiplantae; Streptophyta; Magnoliopsida; Rosales; Rosaceae
Source: RefSeq, a predicted model, not a curated record